Gorilla gorilla gorilla (western lowland gorilla) is the source of this 114-nucleotide small nucleolar RNA. NCBI's taxonomy places the organism in Eukaryota, Metazoa, Chordata, Mammalia, Primates, Hominidae. The record is from Ensembl.
AGGUGAUUUCAAAAAGGACUUGUGGGCUGUGAAUCCAGGCACUCAACACUUUGAAAGUCUUCAUAUUAACUAUAGUCACUCAAUCGUGCUAUGCUUUCCUGAGGAGAUAUAAGG